RNAcentral lists this ribosomal RNA (723 nucleotides) under Micropsalliota arginophaea. RNAcentral describes it as "eukaryotic LSU rRNA". It matches the Rfam family "Eukaryotic large subunit ribosomal RNA", at positions 172 to 883 of the family's 3401-position model. The record is from RNAcentral. Lineage: Eukaryota; Fungi; Basidiomycota; Agaricomycetes; Agaricales; Agaricaceae.
GGACCGUAUACAAGUCUCCUGGGAUGGAGCAUCAUAGAGGGUGAGAAUCCCGUCUUUGAUACGGACUACCAGUGCAUUGUGGUAUGCUCUCAACGAGUCGAGUUGUUUGGGAAUGCAGCUCAAAAUGGGUGGUAAAUUCCAUCUAAAGCUAAAUAUUGGCGAGAGACCGAUAGCGAACAAGUACCGUGAGGGAAAGAUGAAAAGAACUUUGGAAAGAGAGUUAAACAGUACGUGAAAUUGCUGAAAGGGAAACGCUUGAAGUCAGUCACGUCUGCUGGGAAUCAGCCUCGCUCCUGCGUGGUGUACUUUCUGGUAGACGGGUCAGCAUCAGUUUUGACCAUUGGAAAAAGGUGUGGGGAAUGUGACAGCUCCGGCUGUGUUAUAGCCUCAUAUUGUAUACAGUGGUUGGGACUGAGGAACGCAGCACGCCGCAAGGCCGGGUCUUUGACCACGUUCGUGCUUAGGAUGCUGGCAUAAUGGCUUUAAGCGACCCGUCUUGAAACACGGACCAAGGAGUCUAACAUGCCUGCGAGUGUUUGGGUGGAAAACUCGAGCGCGCAAUGAAAGUGAAAGUUGAGAUCCCUGUCGUGGGGAGCAUCGACGCCCGGACCAGAACUUUUGGGACGGAUCCGCGGUAGAGCAUGUAUGUUGGGACCCGAAAGAUGGUGAACUAUGCCUGAAUAGGGUGAAGCCAGAGGAAACUCUGGUGGAGGCUCGUAGCGG